UACAGAGACUGCAAGCGUUAUUCGGAUUCACUGGGCGUAAAGGGUGCGCAGGCGGCCAAGUGUGUGAGGCGUGAAAGCCCGGGGCUUAACCCCGGAAUUGCACCUCAAACUACAUGGCUGAGAGCAUUGGAGAGGGUAGCAGAAUUCACGGUGUAGCAGUGAAAUGCGUAGAUAUCGUGAGGAAUACCAGAGGCGAAGGCGGCUACCUGGACAAUUGCUGACGCUCAGGCACGAAAGCGUGGGGAGCAAAAGGG
Molecule: ribosomal RNA, 254 nt
Filed under: uncultured bacterium
Lineage: Bacteria
Description: partial 16S ribosomal RNA
Rfam family: Bacterial small subunit ribosomal RNA
Source: RNAcentral